Oxyura jamaicensis (ruddy duck) is the source of this 885-nucleotide long non-coding RNA. RefSeq lists it as uncharacterized. Lineage: Eukaryota; Metazoa; Chordata; Aves; Anseriformes; Anatidae. The record is from RefSeq and is a predicted model, not a curated record. The transcript is spliced from 2 exons.
CGGGGAAGGGACGCGCUGCGCCUGCCCCGCUGGCGGUGCUCUCGGCGCACGGAGGAGAGGAGGGGGCGAGACGGUCCCGCGGGGCCGCCGCCCGGAGGAUGCCCAGCGCCCUGCCCCAGUGCCGGUCCCGGUCCGACACCCCGCAGCUUUCAGUGAAAUCUAAUUCAGAAAUUGGACAUGCUCGGGCUCAGAAGACUAAUUCAUCCCCUAAAACAAACGCAUCAGUGAUUGCAGGCACCCAAACGUGACGAGCGUCUCAAUAUGCCGCGGAGCCAGAGAAAACAAAUUCAUUCAGGAGCCCGAAACGUAAUUAAAACUACUGCCAAGAAAACGAGGCGAGGGCAGGAUGGCACCGAAAUCAGCGAGCGGCUGCGGGCGGCGCCACGGCCCGCUGUAGCGGCGCGGACACCCGGCCGGCGGCAGCGCGGGGACGCCGCCAGGCAGCGCGGGCUCCGCAGGACCCCGCCGCCUCGCAGCCCCGAGCCCGCUGCUGAGGCGCUGCUCCCGCUCCCCGCUCCCCUGCAGCUGCAGCGCGCUCCUGCCACCAGCAGCCGGCUCCGCGCUCCGGCCCCGGGGUGAGUUCCCUGCGGGCAGGAUCGCCGCGCUGAGCCCUGCCUAACCCAGGCGCGGUGCGGCAAAAGCGCUUCGUGCUCAGGGGCAGCAGCUUCGGAGGAGCUGAACCGCCGCCGGGGAGGCGUACAGGGGGAGCGGGGUGCGAGGAGGCGGCUGCAGUGGCGGCGAUGCCAACACGGAUCUCUGUUGAACCUCAUGCGUCAACAGGCUCCCGUUCGGGGGUAGUCACCGGCACGGCUUUUGAACAGGGAAAAGUGGGGGGUAAAUGUACAAGGAGACGCGCUUUUUAAAAAUAAAUCACUUGUUAACUAC